Molecule: ribosomal RNA, 253 nt
Filed under: uncultured bacterium
Lineage: Bacteria
Description: partial 16S ribosomal RNA
Rfam family: Bacterial small subunit ribosomal RNA
Source: RNAcentral
UACGUAGGGUGCAAGCGUUAAUCGGAAUUACUGGGCGUAAAGCGUGCGCAGGCGGUGAUGUAAGACAGGUGUGAAAUCCCCGGGCUUAACCUGGGAACUGCAUUUGUGACUGCAUCGCUGGAGUGCGGCAGAGGGGGAUGGAAUUCCGCGUGUAGCAGUGAAAUGCGUAGAUAUGCGGAGGAACACCGAUGGCGAAGGCAAUCCCCUGGGCCUGCACUGACGCUCAUGCACGAAAGCGUGGGAAGCAAACAGG